This 355-nucleotide ribosomal RNA is filed under the name Draculoides sp. SCH012. RNAcentral describes it as "partial small subunit ribosomal RNA". Lineage: Eukaryota; Metazoa; Arthropoda; Arachnida; Schizomida; Hubbardiidae. The record is from RNAcentral.
UUAAUAAAAUUGUUUGCUAAAAUUUUAUUUGUAUUUCAUAAUUAAUUUAAAAUGUAUUGGCGGUAUUAAGCUAGAUUCUGAGGAACUUGUUUAUUUAAAUUGAUAUAACACAUUAAAUUUUAUCUGUAAUUUAUUUUAUAUAUUGCUGUUUAGUUUAUUGUUUAACAUAAUUAAUAAAUUAAAAUGAUAUUUAGAUAAAGAAUUCAAGUCAAAAUGUAGAUUUUUAUAGGGAUAAUUGAGUUACAUUUAUAUUGGAAUAUGAUACUGAUAAAUUAAAUUGCAAUAUUAAUUUGAUGUUGGAUUAGGGAGUAAAAAAGAAAUAAUUAGUUUUUUUGAUAAAUUUUUGCUAAUAUGU